This 292-nucleotide ribosomal RNA is filed under the name uncultured bacterium. Its description in RNAcentral is "partial 16S ribosomal RNA". It matches the Rfam family "Bacterial small subunit ribosomal RNA", at positions 505 to 796 of the family's 1533-position model. The record is from RNAcentral.
GUGCCAGCCGCCGCGGUAAUACAGAGGGUGCAAGCGUUAAUCGGAUUUACUGGGCGUAAAGCGUGCGUAGGCGGUUCAUUAAGUCGGUUGUGAAAUCCCUGGGCUUAACCUGGGAACUGCAGUCGAUACUGGUGGACUAGAGUACGGUAGAGGGUGGCGGAACUCCGGGUGUAGCGGUGAAAUGCGUAGAUAUCCGGAAGAACACCGAUGGCGAAGGCAACCACCUGGGCCUGUACUGACGCUGAGGUACGAAAGCGUGGGGAGCAAACAGGAUUAGAAACCCGCGUAGUCC